Molecule: transfer RNA, 72 nt
Filed under: Entelurus aequoreus (snake pipefish)
Lineage: Eukaryota; Metazoa; Chordata; Actinopteri; Syngnathiformes; Syngnathidae
Description: tRNA-Thr
Rfam family: tRNA
About the family: Transfer RNA (tRNA) molecules are approximately 80 nucleotides in length. Their secondary structure includes four short double-helical elements and three loops (D, anti-codon, and T loops). Further hydrogen bonds mediate the characteristic L-shaped molecular structure. tRNAs have two regions of fundamental functional importance: the anti-codon, which is responsible for specific mRNA codon recognition, and the 3' end, to which the tRNAs corresponding amino acid is attached (by aminoacyl-tRNA synthetases). tRNAs cope with the degeneracy of the genetic code in two manners: having more than one tRNA (with a specific anti-codon) for a particular amino acid; and 'wobble' base-pairing, i.e. permitting non-standard base-pairing at the 3rd anti-codon position.
Source: RNAcentral
GUAAGGGUAGCUCAGCUUCAGAACGCCGGUCUUGUAAACCGGAUGUCGGAGGUUAAAAUCCUCCCCCUCGCU